This is a non-coding RNA of Pelobates cultripes (western spadefoot toad), 75 nucleotides long. The record is from the annotation of a GenBank genome assembly. NCBI's taxonomy places the organism in Eukaryota, Metazoa, Chordata, Amphibia, Anura, Pelobatidae.
UGGAAAUGAUGACUGAAAUAUCUGACAAACACUGAUGUUAACACUAAUAUUUAAGAUAGUCAAGUUCUGAUCCAG